RNAcentral lists this long non-coding RNA (258 nucleotides) under Struthio camelus australis. Its description in RNAcentral is "lncRNA (ENSSCUG00000002199.1)". Lineage: Eukaryota; Metazoa; Chordata; Aves; Struthioniformes; Struthionidae. The record is from RNAcentral.
UACUUACAGACUGCAUUUUGUAUUUAUAUAUUGACAGACUGAAGGAAAAUAUGCGAAAGUCUUCUUCAGCUGGAGACAACCACAGUGCAAUUGCCAUCCAUACCAGCAGGAAAAGGUGACCCAGAAAUAAGCUGUUGCCUCUGGAACAUGACUUAUACCUGUGAAGAUCUGAAAGACACAUGCAGGGAUUUUUCUCUGAAUUUGAAGACAUCCUGAAAAAGUAGAUCUGAGAGGUACGAACUAUCCUAUUCUGUUUUU